GGGGCGAAGUCUCAAGCAAAACGCACUCUGCACGUGCUCUGGAGACGCGAUCCUCUUUGUUCUUCUGUCGUACGUCCUUGGGGCACCGGAACAGUGUUAACUCUCGGGGGNNNNNNNNNNNNNNNNNNNNNNNNNNNNNNNNNNNNNNNNNNNNNNNNNNNNNNNNNGGAGGGAGAGAGAGAGAGAGAGAGAGACCGCCGAAGUUUGGGAGGGGAAGGGGAGAGGAACGUGUUGGAUCAUGUGGUUGCAUCACGUGAAAGGGGAGUCGGGCCCAGCGGCGGCGGCGGCAGCAACAGCACGCCCGAGCGAGACAGAGACCCAGACAGAUUCUGGACGCUGGGCUCGUCGGGAGGAGCGACGGCGGACCGACCGGGCUGGCGGGGCGGAAGCCGCACAGGACGAGGCCACCGCUCCGGAGCUCCCUGGAGAGAAUUGGAAGCAUCCAAGGAUUCCCAGCUUUGAAUGACAGGUGCCAUAAAAGACUACCAUAGCUAAACUGUGAAGCCUGACUCAACCUAAAUUGCAAAACUGAAGGAAAGAAAGUCCGUGCAUAACAGAUGUAUGUGUGUGUCUCUCUCACUGUGUGUGUAUAUAUAAUACACACAGAGAAAGAUUAUCAUAGCCAGACAGACCAGCACUUCUCUGAUUUAGGGAUUGUGUGCAAUUGAUGGAAAUUUACUCAAGCAUCAGAUGGAACAACCUGUCAGCAUAAGGACCAAAAGCUCUUGGAAUAUCAUCUGGUACUAAUGGUCAGUUUUCCAUACAGUUUGCAGUGUGAGAAAAGAAUUUUAAGAAUCAGCAGAACACCCUCUGCACAGCAAAUGACACAAAUACCUCUAUGAAAUGAGGGCAUCUCUGAGUGGAGAGGAGAUCAAUAUUGUCAUCAUCAUAAGAGGAAUAAUGUUCAAGCCUUCCAUACUUUUCAGUUCAAUUUGAACGUGCUUGCUAAGUAAGUAGUGACAAGUAAUUGGGUAGUGAUGACUGGAAGAAAGCAAAUUCUGGAGCAGUGGGACUGAUCCAGGGUUUGAAUUUGAGAAGCUCUUUUAUCCCAGACUGAGCGUUGCAACUUUGUAAUCUGUUACUUUUUCCUCUCUGCCCUGCUUUUGUUUUUGUCCUAUUUCUUGACAAUGUGGUACAAGUACUGAUAAAUAUUUGCUCAUAAAAAUUCCUUGAGACAUUUGGAACAUUUUUUUUAAAAAGAUGUUUUAACAUCUGCAAAUGUGUUGAUUAGAAUUAUGUCUCUGUGCUGUAGAAAAGCACCAAAAAGGACAGGGCAUAUUGGACAAGCAAAGGGACAACCCAGGAAACAAUAAAAGGAAGUGGAAGUUGCA
This 1331-nucleotide long non-coding RNA is filed under the name Pogona vitticeps (central bearded dragon). RNAcentral's name for it is "lncRNA (ENSPVIG00000009946.1)". The record is from RNAcentral. Lineage: Eukaryota; Metazoa; Chordata; Lepidosauria; Squamata; Agamidae.